ACGAACGCUGGCGGCGUGCUUAACACAUGCAAGUCGAACGGUGAAGGAGAGCUUGCUCUUUGGAUCAGUGGCGAACGGGUGAGUAACACGUGAGUAACCUGCCCUUGACUCUGGGAUAACUGCUAGAAAUGGUAGCUAAUACCGGAUAUGACGACCGAUGGCAUCAUCUGGUUGUGGAAAGAAUUUUGGUCAAGGAUGGACUCGCGGCCUAUCAGGUAGUUGGUGAGGUAAUGGCUCACCAAGCCUACGACGGGUAGCCG
This 260-nucleotide ribosomal RNA is filed under the name Microbacteriaceae bacterium ISOM284_OTU2088. RNAcentral's name for it is "partial 16S ribosomal RNA". It matches the Rfam family "Bacterial small subunit ribosomal RNA", at positions 29 to 289 of the family's 1533-position model. Lineage: Bacteria; Bacillati; Actinomycetota; Actinomycetes; Micrococcales; Microbacteriaceae. The record is from RNAcentral.